UUCUAUUUGUAGUAGCUGCUGUACAAAGGUUUUGACAAGAUGAAGACUUCGUAGCGCAACAGGUCAAACUCGACAACCUAAACGUUGCCCGAUGUGGAUGACGUUUUGUUUUUGAAAACGCCUCCGCUCCCUCGACUAUUGUCUGACGGUCUAUAAACAGAAGAGGGCUUCUCCCGGACGACUUUCCACAUCAGGGGCCGUCACACACGCCCGCGACCCGCGUGAGGAGAAGCGGCUCAGAAAAUGGAUGGAUUAUUUAUUUAUUUUGGUCUUGACUGUCAACGAUGCAGGAUUCACAAAAGCCCCUUGCGUCACACACGCUUUGGGAAAGGGUCCGUCCGUCUAUGAUAGAUGGUAGACAAAAUAUGCAGAAUUUCAUGUUAACCAAUCCCGUAUUGAUGGCUAAGGCUGGACAAUCCACAGUAAGUCAGCCUGAGGAAUCGUCAGAUGUCGUUAUCCAAUUUCAUUUAACUGGUCUGAAAAUGAUAUAUUUACUACAAAUAAGGCGUCUUCGUUCAACUAUUUGUGCCAGCGACAUAUAGUGACAGGCAGGACAAUGAAAUGCUGCUCCACUAGAUGACAGAAGGUACAGACAGAAGCCUCUUUAUCCACUUAUUGUGACAUUUAUGGCUUGGCGGUGGCGGGUAUUGCACAGUGAGGCUUUUCUGAUGUACAAUACUUUAUGUAUGAAAGUAUUCAGACCCCCUUACGUUUUCCCUCUUUGUUAUAUUGCAGCCAUUUGCUAAAAUCAUUUUUUUUCCCCUCAUUAAUGUACACACAGCACUCCACCCAUAUUGACAGAAAAAACAUGUUGACAUUUUUGCUGAUUUAUUAAAAAAGAAAAACUGAAAUAUCACACAGCCGAAAGCAUUCAGACCCUUUUGCUGUGACACUCAUAUGUUGGACUCGGGUGCUGUCCAUUUCUUCUGAUGGUCCUUGAGAUGGUUCUACGCCUUCAUUGGAGUCCAGCUGUGUUGGAUUAUACUGAUGGGACUUGAGGAGGAAAGCCACACACCUGUCUAUAUAAAGACCUGACAGCUCACUUUGCAUGUCAGAGAAAAAUGAGAAUCAUGAGGUCAAAGGAACUGCCCGAAGAGCUCAGAGACAGAAUUGUGGCAAGGCACAGAUCUGGCCAAGGUUACAAAAAAAAAAAAAACAGCAAUAUAACAAAGAGUGAACAAAUGAAUGGGGUCUGAAUACUUUCCGUAGCCACUGUACCUUGGCUCAAUGGCAAACGCUGAAAUCUCAGUUGUUGGUGGAGUGAUCAACCACGUGAGGGCGCUAUUUACUCAUGUGGCUACUUGCUGCCAGCACUUGGAGUUCCUUUUCACUGGGGAACAUUUUGAAAACAUUUUUUUGUUGAAUUCGAUUUUUAUGCUGAUUAAAACUAACAUUGGCAUGCUGAUUCCAAAAUUGCAGUCAGUUCUUUUCUAGCACGUACAUUUGGUUCUCCACAGCUUACCCUGCAGAUAAGCAAACUUCCACCAAUUGGCUGCAGUAAGAUUUGCCAGCUGAUUACGAUUGGACUCACGGCAACUUGCUUGUGCAGUCACAAUUGA
Molecule: long non-coding RNA, 1559 nt
Organism: Phyllopteryx taeniolatus (common seadragon)
Lineage: Eukaryota; Metazoa; Chordata; Actinopteri; Syngnathiformes; Syngnathidae
Exons: 3
Source: RefSeq, a predicted model, not a curated record